UACGUAGGGGGCAAGCGUUGUUCGGAAUUACUGGGCGUAAAGGGCGCGUAGGCGGCCUUCUAAGUCGAACGUGAAAUCCCCGGGCUCAACCCGGGAACUGCGUCCGAUACUGGAAGGCUUGAAUCCGGGAGAGGGAUGCGGAAUUCCAGGUGUAGCGGUGAAAUGCGUAGAUAUCUGGAGGAACACCGGUGGCGAAGGCGGCAUCCCGGACCGGUAUUGACGCUGAGGCGCGAAAGCCAGGGGAGCAAACGGG
This 253-nucleotide ribosomal RNA is filed under the name uncultured bacterium. RNAcentral describes it as "partial 16S ribosomal RNA". It matches the Rfam family "Bacterial small subunit ribosomal RNA", at positions 524 to 776 of the family's 1533-position model. The record is from RNAcentral.